Long non-coding RNA from Haliotis rubra (blacklip abalone), 116 nucleotides. RefSeq lists it as uncharacterized. The transcript is spliced from 3 exons. The record is from RefSeq and is a predicted model, not a curated record. Lineage: Eukaryota; Metazoa; Mollusca; Gastropoda; Lepetellida; Haliotidae.
GUGGACAAUGCCAUACAGUUUUGAUUAAAUAGUCAAUUAUCAAACAGGUCUGUAACACCCAAGACACUUAAUAGAGUAUGACCUUAUAUAUUAAGUGAGUGAGUGAGUGAGUGAGA